This 326-nucleotide long non-coding RNA is filed under the name Linum usitatissimum (flax). RNAcentral describes it as "long non-coding RNA (LUSI_LNC004867)". The record is from RNAcentral. Lineage: Eukaryota; Viridiplantae; Streptophyta; Magnoliopsida; Malpighiales; Linaceae.
UGGAAUCUAAAACAGGCCCAGGUAGUAUAAAUGAAUUCUGCUGCUGAUGAAUAUUUGAUAUCAUGGCUGUUUGUUGAGGGGGUGAACUGAAAUACAGGUAGCUGGAAUUGAAUAUUUAAUGUCACUAGUUUUUCUUAAUCAUCAAUGAAAGAAGACUAAUGUCACUAGUUUUUCUUAAUCAUCAAUGAAAGAAGACUGUAACUUGAAUCUUCUGGGGGACCGGUUCGUCAAAUAAUUUUGAUCAUUGUUUGGUGUGAUUUAAGGUGGUUGAAGCUGUUGGGUUCAAGGGUCAAAAGCUCGAGACUCCAGGCUAUGUGAACCCUGCG